CUUGCGUAACGAUGUACACUUACCAGCCAGCUUCUCUGUCCUAAUUUUUGCAGACCAAUAUUUUACCUUAAUGGAAAGUAUGAUACGAAUACAAAACAGGCACAAUAAGAAGCGGAGUCAGAAGUCCACCCUGUACCUGCUGCACGGUGAACCCGUGGAUCUGUUCACCUAUCCUGUACUGUAGGGCUCUUUCAUGAACAGAACUGCUCUUCCACCUCCAAGACUUGUGAUUGAGGGAUCGGAAACUGAAAUGACAUUUUCCUUAAUUAAAAAAAAAAUCACUACAGCAAAGGCAGGAUUAUUUCCUCUCCCUCCCCCUCUUGCUUGUGUUUUUUCAGGAGCAGAAAGUCCAGAGGAGAUGUAAUACAGCACCCUGGAGACAAAUGCCCACUUAACCUCCACCCCUGCCUAGAAAAGAGGAGACGAGGAGGGGAGCUGACUCCACGCCCCGCUCAGGAGGAGCCCGAGCCCACACAGCUCCCGGCAGCACCGAGGGGAAGAGCCCAAGUGACCAGCCCGGGCAGCAGGGGACACCGCACCUCACCGACUAACUCGGAGGGAUGUGUGGGAGGAACGCCAUCUGCAUAUAGAAGUUUGGGCCAGCUGAAGAGGCCAUGGAAGAGCAAUAUUACUUUCUGUAUCUACUUCUCCAGAAAAAGUCCAGACCACUUUUAAAAUAACUAGGAGCUUUUAGUUGUAAACCACCUCCAGCUUUGCCAAAUCCUGGAGGACUAGUUGCUAGAAAGCCACAUUUUCAUUUGUCUUUGGCCUUCCUAUUGUGGGCACUGUGGUAUUCGAAGUGAGCAAACAGAAGUAUUCUAAUAUGCUUAAACAGUGAUUAGAGCAAGCAUAUCGUGUUUUCAUAUAUUACCUAUUCAGGGAUUUGAAGGCUAGUUUUCCAAUGUGAAGAAGUAGAUGUCUGAAAACAAUAUACAACAUAUGAAAACUUAUAUGAACAAAAAUAGUCUAUUUAUACAAUUUUUUUAAGCAGUGAAUAUUUUGGAUAUGCAUUUUAUAGUUUUAAUGGCUCAUACCAGCUACUUAAGAUAUACCAUAAAGCUGAAUGCAGCUUGACUUACACUUUGUUAUUUUAAGACAAAUGUGAAGCAGAAACCAUCUGUUUUCUUGUACUGUUAAUGUCUCUAUGUUGCUGUAGUUGGCCAACUCAUAUAAUCAUCACUCUGACCUAGAAUGUAAUUGUAAGACUUGUUAAAUAUUUAAAUUUUGUGUCACUAUUUUGUUUCAACAAAGUUGAAACUUAAAAAUACAGGUUGUCAUUCUUGAAGAUUCAAAGUCAAAACACAUUACUGAUGCUGAAUGCUAUAUGCAUUUUCAUUUGCUAGAUAGCUUGUUUUUCAUUAAAAUUUAGAUAGCAAGGGCCAAAAUGUUCUGCACCAAUUACAUAAUGUCAUUGAAAUAAAAGGCACGGCAUGAAGUAAAACUGCA
Molecule: long non-coding RNA, 1446 nt
Filed under: Crocodylus porosus (Australian saltwater crocodile)
Lineage: Eukaryota; Metazoa; Chordata; Crocodylia; Crocodylidae
Description: lncRNA (ENSCPRG00005006830.1)
Source: RNAcentral